AGUACGAGAGGAACUGGCUUUCGAAGCCACUGGUGGACCGGUUAUCUGACAAGGUACGCCGGGCAGCUACGCUUUAAGUGAUAAGUGCUGAAAGCAUCUAAGCACGAAGUACCCCUCGAAAAGAGACUCCUUAGGACAUCGCAAGAACAGCGGUUUGAUAGAACUGGUGUGUAAGUACCAAGCUUCGGCGAGGUAUUCAGCAUGCAGUUACUAA
Molecule: ribosomal RNA, 214 nt
Filed under: archaeon
Lineage: Archaea
Description: partial 23S ribosomal RNA
Rfam family: Archaeal large subunit ribosomal RNA
Source: RNAcentral